Long non-coding RNA from Contarinia nasturtii (swede midge), 427 nucleotides. RefSeq lists it as uncharacterized. The record is from RefSeq and is a predicted model, not a curated record. NCBI's taxonomy places the organism in Eukaryota, Metazoa, Arthropoda, Insecta, Diptera, Cecidomyiidae. The transcript has 3 exons.
GACACAAUUCGGUGUGGAGCUCACACACGACCGUCGAUUCGUUCAUUUCAUCGCCGCAUUCAACAGAAGACACACGUGUUUAUCGAAAACUCGUGGACAAACUGAUCACACAAAUUAAGAUAAUGUCGAAGAAAUUAAUUAUGUUGGACGAAUUUGGAUGGUCACCAAGGAAAAUUUCGAACAGAUGAGCUGAAAUUCAUCGCUGAAAAUGUACAUGUGAAACAUGCAUUGGUUCAAUGAAUCCUAACCUUAACACACCAUGUGCUGUUGACACCGCAAUCAGUUGAAGAUGGUUACCGGUUUGACUCUCUCGCAUCAAAAUUGCCGCAUACGGGCGGAAGCAUAAAUUGAUUAAAGCGUAUUUUGACGUUGAAUAAAUUGAAAACCUUAAAUGGGCACAAAUAAAUACAUUGAAAAUUAAAACGAA